RNAcentral lists this ribosomal RNA (793 nucleotides) under Dialonectria sp. G.J.S. 10-298. RNAcentral describes it as "eukaryotic LSU rRNA". It matches the Rfam family "Eukaryotic large subunit ribosomal RNA", at positions 87 to 912 of the family's 3401-position model. Lineage: Eukaryota; Fungi; Ascomycota; Sordariomycetes; Hypocreales; Nectriaceae. The record is from RNAcentral.
CGGCGAGUGAAGCGGCAACAGCUCAAAUUUGAAAUCUGGCCCUUGGGUCCGAGUUGUAAUUUGUAGAGGAUGCUUUUGGUGAGGUGCCUUCCGAGUUCCCUGGAACGGGACGCCAUAGAGGGUGAGAGCCCCGUCUGGUUGGACACCGAGCCUCUGUAAAGCUCCUUCGACGAGUCGAGUAGUUUGGGAAUGCUGCUCUAAAUGGGAGGUAUAUGUCUUCUAAAGCUAAAUAUUGGCCAGAGACCGAUAGCGCACAAGUAGAGUGAUCGAAAGAUGAAAAGCACUUUGAAAAGAGGGUUAAAUAGUACGUGAAAUUGUUGAAAGGGAAGCGCUUAUGACCAGACUUGAGCCCGGUUAAUCAUCCAGCCUUCUGGCUGGUGCACUUGGCCGGCUCAGGCCAGCAUCAGUUCGGCGCGGGGGAUAAAGACUUCGGGAAUGUGGCUCCUCCGGGAGUGUUAUAGCCCGCUGUGUAAUACCCUGUACUGGACUGAGGUUCGCGCAUCUGCAAGGAUGCUGGCGUAAUGGUCAUCAGCGACCCGUCUUGAAACACGGACCAAGGAGUCGUCUUCGUAUGCGAGUGUUCGGGUGUCAAACCCCUACGCGUAAUGAAAGUGAACGCAGGUGAGAGCUUCGGCGCAUCAUCGACCGAUCCUGAUGUUCUCGGACGGAUUUGAGUAAGAGCAUACGGAGCCGGACCCGAAAGAAGGUGAACUAUGCCUGUAUAGGGUGAAGCCAGAGGAAACUCUGGUGGAGGCUCGCAGCGGUUCUGACGUGCAAAUCGAUCGUCAAAUAU